Molecule: small nuclear RNA, 162 nt
Organism: Onychomys torridus (southern grasshopper mouse)
Lineage: Eukaryota; Metazoa; Chordata; Mammalia; Rodentia; Cricetidae
Product: U1 spliceosomal RNA
Exons: 1
Source: RefSeq, a predicted model, not a curated record
AUACUUACCUGGCAGGGGAGAUACCAUGAUUAUGAAGGUGGUUUUCCUGGGGCAAAUCUUAUCCAUUGCACUCUGAAUGUGCUAACCCCUGCAAUUUCCCCAAAUUUGAGAAACUCGAGUGCAUAAUUUGUGGUAGUGGGGAAUGCGUUUGUGGUCUCCCCU